Molecule: long non-coding RNA, 978 nt
Organism: Mus musculus (house mouse)
Lineage: Eukaryota; Metazoa; Chordata; Mammalia; Rodentia; Muridae
Product: predicted gene, 26995
Exons: 2
Source: RefSeq, a predicted model, not a curated record
UGCUAAUGAGCCUCUCCUUUGCUCCUCCCCCAGUCCCUCUUCCUGGAUAGCAAAAGGUACAGCCUCUACUGGGGGCUUGUUUCCUAGGAAGGAGAUGUCCCCACCCCCGGGGGUGGGGAGAAGGCUGUGUUUGGUGGUCCCUCUGAGCAGUGGCUACUCUGCACCAGAAAAACACCCUUGUUACCACACGGGAAGCAACCCGCGGCCUGUAAACCUGCUGUGAGAGUCUCUGCUCCCUUUUCUUUCAUGCAUUGGUUCAGGUGGUACGGACAAGAGCUAAAAACCACAUAGGAAAGUGGUAAGAGUUACUACAGCGGUGGGGACAGACGUGUAUAGUGGUGACCAUAGAGCGGGCGGGGAGACAGAGCUGAUGUGACGACCAAAUGCAAAUGAGGACACGCCCCCUUGCUCAAGACUGCCACCUGCUGUGAACAGUUGGAAAAGCAUUUUUUUGUGCGUCCCCAAUCCCAGGCCUCGCAGGGCUGGCUCUCCAGGACCUACCCACCUUGCUGAGGACCAGCAGCCGCUGCUUCUCUUUCUCAUUGGUGGCCAGGGAGGCGAACUGCUGCAGCUGCAGGGGCGUGGGCGGCGUGGUGAUGUCCAGGUAGUACUUGAAGGCCUGGAAGAUGGUGCAGGGUGGGAGGCGAGAUUCAUCCUUCCAAUUACUGAUGACACCUGGGGAGGCACAGCGGGGAUGAGGUUUCCUCCAGUCACUUAAGUCCUCACCACGGUCAUCACUCCGAGUGAGGAAAAGGAAGCACAGAGAGGUUAUGGAAUCUGUCCGAGGCCACACAGCUUUUGCGAGUGCGCGCGCGUGCAUGUGUGUGUUUGUGUGUGUGCGCGCGCAAACAUUCUGGUCUCACACUUUGCUCUAACUACACUGUGCCCUUGGCUCUCCAUGUCCACAACUUCUGCAUUUCAGAGCAUUUGAGAGGAACGAAAUCAAUGGAAAGAAAAAGUAAUCUCGUCUCUAUCAAA